RNAcentral lists this ribosomal RNA (200 nucleotides) under uncultured bacterium. RNAcentral's name for it is "partial 16S ribosomal RNA". It matches the Rfam family "Bacterial small subunit ribosomal RNA", at positions 8 to 236 of the family's 1533-position model. The record is from RNAcentral.
AGAGUUUGAUCCUGGCUCAGAGCGAACGCUGGCGGCAGGCUUAACACAUGCAAGUCGAGCGGGCGUAGCAAUACGUCAGCGGCAGACGGGUGAGUAACGCGUGGGAACAUACCUUUUGGUUCGGAACAACCCAGGGAAACUUGGGCUAAUACCGGAUAAGCUUACGGGGAAAGAUUUAUCGCCGAAAGAUUGGCCCGCGU